Myripristis murdjan (pinecone soldierfish) is the source of this 138-nucleotide small nucleolar RNA. The record is from Ensembl. NCBI's taxonomy places the organism in Eukaryota, Metazoa, Chordata, Actinopteri, Holocentriformes, Holocentridae.
ACAGGCUCCUAUCGAAGCCGCUCAUGCUCUAUUGUAGCAGUGGGCGGUCAAAAGGAUGCCAAGAUGAACACUUUCACCGACGGUCGCUGUUCAGUUCUAAAAUAACUGUUUUCAGCAACAUUUAGGGGAAGGACACUU